Molecule: RNA transcript, 957 nt
Organism: Eriocheir sinensis (Chinese mitten crab)
Lineage: Eukaryota; Metazoa; Arthropoda; Malacostraca; Decapoda; Varunidae
Gene name: cleavage stimulation factor subunit 1-like
Exons: 6
Source: RefSeq, a predicted model, not a curated record
UCCACAGACAACAUGGCGGGGCACUGGUCGAGCCAGCUGUUCUACGAUGGCCACCAGAACUUCGCACAGGAGCUGGCCGUCAUUGUGGACCAAGAAGCCACGGCCGUCUCCCCUUCAGACCGGCUCAUGAACAUAAUCACCAUUGGACUGCAGCACGAACAUGUACGAAACGGAACCCCAGACCAGCGCCCCCGAGCCAGCCAUGUAUGAGACCGCCCAUGUCACCUCCCACAAGGACAAGUGUCGUGCCGCAGCCUUCUCCAUGGACGGGAGUUUAGUGGCCACGGGGAGUGUGGACGCCUCUUUAAAGUACAUCCUGUCGUCGGGUCUGGACAGCAUUGUCAAGUUGUGGGAGCUGUCAACAGGCCGAUGCCUCAUUGCCUACACUGAUGCCAGCUCAGUGGGCCGGCAGGAGCACAGCGCACACGCCAUGUUCAACCACACCGAAGACUUUGUCAUGUUCCCGGACGAGGCCACCACCUCCCUCUGUGCCUGGGACGCUCGCAACGCCCAGAGGAAGAACCUGCUGUCCCUCGGUCACAAUGGCCCUGUGCGACACAUGGUCCACUCACCCUGCUCGCCGGCCUUCAUCACCUGCUCAGAUGACUACCGGGCAAGGUUCUGGUACCGCAGGAAUGUCCACUGAAACCCUUCAACAAGACUUUGCUGAGGGUCAAGGGAAGGGCCUUUUAUCCAAUUUUUGUUUUAUAGCAAUACAGUUGGGUGUUUCAGUUUGUACGCACCUUGUAAUUAGUACUCAUGUCAAGAAUAAAGGUACCUUGGAAAAGUAAGCGGAAUUAAAAAUAGGAAUGAUUGUCAAAGUGAAGAAUGAUUAUCAAUCUGUAUUUUGACAGCAUUAGAUACUCAAUCUUUCUUAUGCUUGUCUAGUGAAAAAUAAUAAUAAGAAGAAGAGAGAGAAUGUUAUGAGCUAUGAUUAAGUAUCUGGAGGUGUGAGAA